Molecule: ribosomal RNA, 433 nt
Filed under: uncultured bacterium
Lineage: Bacteria
Description: partial 16S ribosomal RNA
Rfam family: Bacterial small subunit ribosomal RNA
Source: RNAcentral
AACGAACGCUGGCGGCAUGCCUAACACAUGCAAGUCGAACGAGACCUUCGGGUCUAGUGGCGCACGGGUGCGUAACGCGUGGGAACCUGCCCUUAGGUUCGGAAUAACUCCCCGAAAGGGGUGCUAAUACCGGAUAAUGUCUUCGGACCAAAGAUUUAUCGCCUUUGGAUGGGCCCGCGUUGGAUUAGCUAGUUGGUAGGGUAAAAGCCUACCAAGGCGAGGAUCCAUAGCUGGUCUGAGAGGAUGAUCAGCCACACUGGGACUGAGACAUGGCCCAGACUCCUACGGGAGGCAGCAGUGGGGAAUAUUGGACAAUGGGCGAAAGCCUGAUCCAGCAAUGCCGCGUGAGUGAUGAAGGCCUUAGGGUUGUAAAGCUCUUUUACCCGGGAUGAUAAUGACAGUACCGGGAGAAUAAGCUCCGGCUAACUCCGUG